Molecule: long non-coding RNA, 422 nt
Organism: Macrobrachium nipponense
Lineage: Eukaryota; Metazoa; Arthropoda; Malacostraca; Decapoda; Palaemonidae
Exons: 2
Source: RefSeq, a predicted model, not a curated record
GAGAGAACCAUUCUUUGAAGUUAAUGAAGUUAACAAGCUCUAACCGAGCCUGAAGCAAACUCAUUGACGACUGACGUCACUCAUUGUGGCUUUCCGGUUACCGCUAACAACUGUCUGGUGUUGAUUCUGUAAGACUGUAACAUAUGUUUUCAGUGUCCGUUUGUGGCUGGGUGGGAUUGCGUCGUUGCUCAUAACACCUGCCUGCAGAGGUUUCCUCUUUGUGUUGCCCCUUUCAUGCUCCAAAAGGAUUAUAAAAAUGAAGACUUGGUUAAUGCUAGUAUUUUUAGUGGCGCUGCUUCUUUUAGUAAGUGCUUUUGUUGGCAUGGGAACUUGGCACAUGGCCUAUGAAGAAGCUACAUUCCACGCAGCCCUUCGAGAACAGAAAACUUUGGAGGCAGGGAAGGCAUGGUGUAAUAAAUGUG